Long non-coding RNA from Papaver somniferum (opium poppy), 1274 nucleotides. RefSeq lists it as uncharacterized. The transcript is spliced from 2 exons. The record is from RefSeq and is a predicted model, not a curated record. Lineage: Eukaryota; Viridiplantae; Streptophyta; Magnoliopsida; Ranunculales; Papaveraceae.
UCUAUCAAGAAUUAAAAUCCAAGUAGAGAAUGUAAAUCCAAGAAUUAAAAUUUUCAAUUUCCAAAUGUUUGAGUUUUCUGUUCUAUUCUGUUAUUAUUAAUUUUUUCGAUCAAAUAAGUAGUAUCUUGUUUUUGGAAUAUUUCUGAUAAUAGUAAACAUGGUAAUGAAAUCUUACCUGUGCUCAAGGAGUUGUAAUAAAAUAAAAUCAUCAAGAGUACCAAUAGGUGUUCUUCAAACAAUUUUGCAAGUGUCGUUUUGGUAAAAAAUGGCCAGGGAAAUGCUCAAAGAAAAGAAGCUGCAAAUAUCAAUCCGGGACACGAAAAAGAUGACAGAUACAAAAAGAACGCAAUUGAAGUAGCAGCAGAUGAUGAUGACCUCAGUGAAGAAGGGCCUGAAACAGAAUCAAGAAUCAGUUGAAGUUCCCGAUCCAGAUUUUUAUUACUUCUAUAGGGAUAAGAGUGAACAAUGUUUAGCAGGUGAUCAGAUAUGGGCCAUUCAUGACAAUUUAGAUGCCACGCCCAUACUCUAUGCACUAAUCAGAAAAUUUUAUUCACCUUUUGAGGCAAAGUUCAUUUGGUUGGACUUUGUUCCUGAUAGCCAAGAUGAGACAGCUUGGGAUACUAGUGGGUUGCCCGUUGCUUGUUGGAAGUUUGAACAUGGUGAUAGUGAUAACCAAGUAACCAACCUUGAAGGUAUCGGUACGUUUUCUCAUAGGAUUAUAUUGGAAAAGGAUGGCAAAAAUACUUAAAAGAUCUAUCCUAAAAAAGUUGUAAUUUCGCCAUCUACAAGAACCGAAACACUAAAGUAUGAGUAUGAAUUUGUGGAGGUCCUGUCAGAUUAUAAGAGGAUAUAGGAAUUAUGGUUUCCAAAUUAAUUAAGAUAAAAGGUUUCGUGCGCAUAUUCCAGCCGGUUUCCAUAGCCAAUGGCAUGGCUAUAAUCCAGAUUCUGUCUGAUGAACUUUUAAGAUUCUCGCACAUUACCUCGUUUAGAAUGAAAAGAUGUCCUUGAAGGUUACUUUGAACUUGAUGCUGCUUCCCUGCCCAGUACUAUCGAAGUUUCUGAGCGAGUUCCUUCUUCCACUUCAAACCCUUGUCAACUUCGGGAGUCUGAAAUAUAUGAUAUUUAACAUCGAUAAAUCUCAUGAUAAGUUUCGACCUGGUUAGAUAUGGGCUCUGAUGAAAAACAAGGAACGUUGCAUUGAUUUUGGAAGUUUUUUAUUUUUAUUUUUAUUGCAGAAAUGUUAAAGUUGAUUAAAAAAAAGAACGUUACAAGAA